This 562-nucleotide ribosomal RNA is filed under the name Vibrio toranzoniae. Its description in RNAcentral is "Bacterial large subunit ribosomal RNA". It matches the Rfam family "Bacterial large subunit ribosomal RNA", at positions 1223 to 1779 of the family's 2925-position model. Lineage: Bacteria; Pseudomonadati; Pseudomonadota; Gammaproteobacteria; Vibrionales; Vibrionaceae. The record is from Rfam by way of RNAcentral.
GUGGGGUAGGGGAGCGUUCUGUAAGCCGUUGAAGGUGGUCUGUAAGGGCUGCUGGAGGUAUCAGAAGUGCGAAUGCUGACAUGAGUAACGAUAAAGGGAGUGAAAAACUCCCUCGCCGGAAGACCAAGGGUUCCUGUCCAACGUUAAUCGGGGCAGGGUAAGUCGACUCCUAAGGCGAGGCCGAAAGGCGUAGUCGAUGGGAAACGGGUUAAUAUUCCCGUACUUCUUACAAUUGCGAUGGGGGGACGGAGAAGGCUAGGUGGGCCUGGCGACGGUUGUCCAGGUUCAAGUAUGUAGGCGGAAGGUUUAGGUAAAUCCGGACUUUCUUAACGCUGAGAUACGAUGUCGAGCACCUACGGGUGUGAAGUCAUUGAUGCCAUGCUUCCAGGAAAAGCCUCUAAGCUUCAGAUUGUAAGGAAUCGUACCCCAAACCGACACAGGUGGUCGGGUAGAGAAUACCAAGGCGCUUGAGAGAACUCGGGUGAAGGAACUAGGCAAAAUGGUACCGUAACUUCGGGAGAAGGUACGCUCUUAUCAGUGAAGUCCCUUGCGGAUGGAGCAG